CGCCAGACUCCUACGGGAGGCAGCAGUGGGGAAUAUUGCACAAUGGGGGAAACCCUGAUGCAGCAACGCCGCGUGAGUGAAGAAGUAUUUCGGUAUGUAAAGCUCUAUCAGCAGGGAAGAAGAUGACGGUACCUGAUUAAGAAGCCCCGGCUAACUACGUGCCAGCAGCCGCGGUAAUACGUAGGGGGCAAGCGUUAUCCGGAUUUACUGGGUGUAAAGGGAGCGUAGACGGCAGGGCAAGUCUGGAGUGAAAGCCCGGGGCCCAACCCCGGGACUGCUUUGGAAACUGCCAUGCUGGAGUGCUGGAGAGGUAAGCGGAAUUCCUAGUGUAGCGGUGAAAUGCGUAGAUAUUAGGAGGAACACCAGUGGCGAAGGCGGCUUACUGGACAGUAACUGACGUUGAGGCUCGAAAGCGUGGGGAGCAAACAGGAUUAGAUACCCGUGUAUA
This 448-nucleotide ribosomal RNA is filed under the name uncultured bacterium. Its description in RNAcentral is "bacterial SSU rRNA". It matches the Rfam family "Bacterial small subunit ribosomal RNA", at positions 329 to 794 of the family's 1533-position model. The record is from RNAcentral.